GUAGAGGCGAUCGAACGGGGAAGAGCCCAAACCAUGUUUGUUUCGGCAUUCAUGGGGUUGAAGGAGUAUCAUAAUGCGAAGAAGUAUUUAAGUGGAAUUUUCUGGAAAGAAGAACCGUAGAGAGUGAAAGUCUCGUACACGUAUGUAAUAUUUUAGAGCGGGAUACCACCUGAGUAGGACGGGUCACGAGGAAUCCUGUCUGAAACUGCCGGGACCACCCGGCAAGGCUAAAUACUCCCAAAAGACCGAUAGUGUACCAGUACCGUGAGGGAAAGGUGAAAAGUACCCCUUUUAGGGGAGUGAAAUAGUACCUGAAACCGUGUGCCAACAAGCGGUCGGAGCUGUUUAAGCAGUGACGGCGUGCCUUUUGCAUAAUGAGCCUACGAGUUAACUUCAUUAGCAAGGUUAAUUGAUUCAAUCAAGGAGCCGAAGCGAAAGCGAGUCCUAAUAAGGCGUUAAGUUAUUGGAGUUAGACGCGAAACCAAGUGAUCUACCCAUGGUCAGGUUGAAGCUGGGGUAAAACUCAGUGGAGGACCGAACCAGUUGACGUUGAAAAGUCUUUGGAUGAACUGUGGGUAGGGGUGAAAGGCCAAUCAAACUUGGAAAUAUCUCGUACUCCCCGAAAUGCCUUUAGGGGCAGCCUUGUGUUUAAUUGUUAUAGAGGUAGAGCUACCGAUUGGGUGCGAGGGUUUCACCACCUAUCAAUCCCUGACGAACUCCGAAUGCUAUAACAUUUACACAGGAGUGAGGCGGUGGGUGCUAAGGUCCAUUGCCGAGAGGGCAACAACCCUGAUCAUCAGCUAAGGUCCCUAAAUGUAAGUUAAGUUGUAAUAACGAGGUUGGCUUGCAACGACAGCUAGGAUGUUGGCUUGGAAGCAGCCAUUCAUUUAAAGAGUGCGUAACAGCUCACUAGUCGAGCGAGCCGGCAUGGAUGAUAAUCGGGCAUAAAUUUACUACCGAAGCUAUGAAUUUGCAUUUAUAUGCAAGUGGUAGGGGAGCAUUCCAGCGACGUAGAAUCAGUUUGGUGAUGAACUGUGGAGUUUCUGGAAAAGCAAAUGUAGGCAUAAGUAACGAUAAAGAGAGUGCGAAACUCUCUCACCGAUACUCUAAGGUUUCCUGAAUCUAUGCUAAUCAGAGCAGGGUUAGUCGGGACCUAAGGCGUACCCGAAAGGGGAAGUCGAUGGCAAAUCAGUUAAUAUUCUGAUACUACCUUAUAGAGUGAUGGGGCGACGGAGAAGUGACAACUACGCGGACAGACGGAUUAGUUCGUUGAAGGGUGUAGAUAAAUUUUUUGUAGGCAAAUCCGCAAUAAAUGUCGAACCUGAUAGUACCAAAAGCUAUACUUAGCGAUUGGUUAGUUAGUGUAAACAAUCUUCCAAGAAAACCCUCUAAGCAUAUUUAUAAGGUACCCGUACCGUAAACCGACACAGGUGGAGAGGUAGAGAAUACCGAGGUGCUCGAGUGAUUCGUGGCUAAGGAACUAGGCAAAAUGACCCCGUAACUUCGGGAGAAGGGGAACUCUAUGUAAGUAGAGUCGCAGUAAAAAGGCCCAGGCGACUGUUUAGCAAAAACACAGGGCUAUGCAAAGUUGUAAGACGCGGUAUAUGGCCUGACGCCUGCCCAGUGCCGGAAGGUUAAGGGGGGAUGUAAUCGAAAGAGAAGCAUUGAACUGAAGCCCCGGUAAACGGCGGCCGUAACUAUAACGGUCCAAAGGUAGCGAAAUUCCUUGUCGGGUAAGUUCCGACCUGCACAAAUGGCGUAACGAUCUGGGCACUGUCUCAGCCACGAGCUCGGUGAAAUUGUAGUUCCGGUGAAGAUGCCGGAUACCCGCAGCGGGACGGAAAGACCCCGUGAACCUUUACUACAGCUUAGCGUUGGUUUUUGAUAUUAGACGUGUAGGAUAGGUGGGAGACAAUGAAUUUGGGACGCAAGUUUCGAUGGAGUCGCCCUUGAAAUACCACCCUUCUAAUAUUGGGGAUCUAAUCUAUAAAGGAGACAGCGUUUGGUGGGUAGUUUGACUGGGGUGGUCGCCUCCAAAAGCGUAACGGAGGCUUUCAAAGGUACCCUCAGUACGAUUGGUAACCGUACAAAGAGUAUAAUGGCAUAAGGGUGCUUGACUGGGAGACCGACGGGUCGAUCAGAUACGAAAGUAGGACAUAGUGAUCCGGUGGUUCCGAGUGGAAGGGCCAUCGCUCAAAGGAUAAAAGGUACUCCGGGGAUAACAGGCUUAUCACUCCCAAGAGCUCACAUCGACGGAGUGGUUUGGCACCUCGAUGUUCGGUCCCAAGGGUUAGGCUGUUCGCCUAUUAAAGUGGCACGCGAGCUGGGUUCAGAACGUCGUGAGACAGUUCGGUCCCUAUCUGCUGUGGGCGUUAGAAAUUUGCGAGGACCUGUCCUUAGUACGAGAGGACCGGGAUGGACAAACCUCUAGUGUACCAGUUGUCUCGCCAGGGGCACAGCUGGGUAGCUACGUUUGGCAGAGAUAAGCACUGAAAGCAUCUAAGUGCGAAGCUCUCCUCAAGAUGAGAUUUCUUAUGAGGGUCGUUAGAGACUAUGACGUUGAUAGGUUGCAUGUGUAAGUUACGGUGACGUGCUUAGCAGAGCAAUACUAAUAACCCGAAAACUUUUGAGC
This 2632-nucleotide ribosomal RNA is filed under the name oral metagenome. RNAcentral's name for it is "bacterial LSU rRNA". It matches the Rfam family "Bacterial large subunit ribosomal RNA". The record is from RNAcentral.